AGAUCUAUGGUGGCUGCUUAAUUUCUUUUGCUUUGCCCUAAAUUUUUUGAAACGGCUCAUAUGUAAAAAUUUAAACAUGAAAUGUAAGAGGAACUAUUAUUGUCCUUGUGGCCGUGGUUUUUCUCCAAUAUAGGAGCUUUCUACGUAAAUAUUCUUACAAUACAAAGUAAAUAUGUUAGCAAUGCAGUUUUUAAACAUGUGAAGGUAGAAAUGGAAAAUUUUGAUGGAAGAAUCAAUUUUAGCUUGUAGCAAAUUCAAGUCAAGAAUAUAUUGAUUUAAUUUAGUUACACAAGUUAAGCAAAGGCAACAUCAACCUGGUUCCACUAGUGAAAAAUUUUAAAGGUGUAUAAACAAUCAAGACCCUGUAAAGAAGAUUGUUAGAGUGGAACAUGUGCGGCAAGUAGCUCAAAAUCAGAAGAUGGAGAUACUGAUAAUGUCAGCUAGUGAUUUGUCUCGUUUUUCCAUGAGAGACUAGUUUAUCCUCUUUGGUGGCCAUGGAAUAGGAUGAGUUACUACUAACAGACACAAAGUAAAGUUUGGCAUUUAUGCAAGAUGUGUUGUAGAAUUUUACAUGUUAAUGGAUGGGGACUUUCAAGGAAGCCAAAUAAAAAAGUGGAUAUUGUCAACAAGAUGAUCGACAUAUGUCAAAUAUUUAUAAUUUGGUUAAGGUAGAGUAUGUUGAUUCUCGGUAUAGAAAAUUAUAACUGCAUGGAUAGAAAAUGAGGUUUUACCUAUGGUGGAGUGAUUUUAAUAAGUCCUAUGUGAGUGUAGUUUUGGUGGAGCAAAAAAGACAGAGACAACAUGAUUUUGUGUGUACAUGGUAAAUAAUUUUUUUUUUUUUGCCCAAUUGAAAAACUCGUCAAAAUGGAGAUUGUUAGAAAAUAUGUCUCUUUGUUUAAUAACGAUAUCUUAUGAUAUUUUCUUUUUUAGAAGUAUUCCUAUUUAAGAAGUAAGUAAUUUUUCCACCAAGACUUAUUCACGAAGAGAUAUAACUUUUAUAAGGAAAUGAAUACUUUUUCCACAAGCCACUCGGCCAGGUUGUGAGGGCAGAAGUAUGAGCCCCCUAUAAAGCCUUUGUGGGGGUUAAAAUUCCUUCCCAAUUAUGAAAAACAAUUGAGUGAAGGCAAUGUUUUUCCUCUCGAAAUGAGAGUGAAGUAGACGUCUCUCGAAUAUUAGAAAAAGUUAAAAUCUAGACUCUAAUCUUAGGAAUUGUCUUAUUAUUGUAAAUAUGUCAGCAAUAGUCUCAUAUAAUAUGAGUUGUAUAUUGACAUUAGCCCUAUGUAAUUAAAAAGAAAAGAAAACUAUUCUUACAAGAAAUAAUCAUUAUGUAUAGAGAGGUUGGGUUCACUCAUCUGUAUAACACAACAAUCAAUUUCUCUAUAAGUAUGUUAGCCUAAAGGGCUACAUAAUGUAAUUUUGAUGACAACAAACAUGUGUUUUAAGUGAUUUAAUAAAUAUUAUAUUUCACAUUUUCACUAGUUUUUGAAGGAUAAUAUUUAUUCAAGUGAAUCAAGUUCAAAACACUUAACGGACAACGACGAAAUUAAGAAUAAAGUUUAGAGCUCAACGGACAAUUUAUUACGAUAAAUUCUUAUAAAACCGAUAUGAUUUAAUCGAUGCAUGAUUUAGCAUUUGAGAAGCUCAAUAGUUUAUUUAAAUAAUUACUAUUCAUAAACUAAAAGGUUUUAUAUUUAUAAGAUAAAGUAUUCUGUGGAUUUGAGUAAUUUGGACUAA
Molecule: long non-coding RNA, 1734 nt
Filed under: Citrus x clementina
Lineage: Eukaryota; Viridiplantae; Streptophyta; Magnoliopsida; Sapindales; Rutaceae
Description: Citrus clementina (C. clementina) long non-coding RNA (CCLE_LNC005221)
Source: RNAcentral